UUCAGAUACGAANGCGGUGGGAGCAAAACGGGAUUAGAUACCCUGGUAGUCNCACGCCGUAAACGAUGUCUACUUUGAGGUUGUGGCCUUGAGCCGUGGCUUUCGGAGCUAACGCGUUAAGUAGACCGCCUGGGGAGUACGGUCGCAAGAUUAAAACUCAAAUGAAUUGACGGGGGCCCGCACAAGCGGUGGAGCAUGUGGUUUAAUUCGAUGCAACGCGAAGAACCUUACCUACUCUUGACAUCUACAGAAGCCAGCGGAGACGCAGGUGUGCCUUCGGGAACUGUAAGACAGGUGCUGCAUGGCUGUCGUCAGCUCGUGUUGUGAAAUGUUGGGUUAAGUCCCGCAACGAGCGCAACCCUUAUCCUUGUUUGCCAGCACUUCGGGUGGGAACUCCAGGGAGACUGCCGGUGAUAAACCGGAGGAAGGUGGGGACGACGUCAAGUCAUCAUGGCCCUUACGAGUAGGGCUACACACGUGCUACAAUGGCGCAUACAGAGGGCGGCCAACUUGCGAAAGUGAGCGAAUCCCAAAAAGUGCGUCGUAGUCCGGAUUGGAGUCUGCAACUCGACUCCAUGAAGUCGGAAUCGCUAGUAAUCGUGGAUCAGAAUGCCACGGUGAAUACGUUCCCGGGCCUUGUACACACCGCCCGUCACACCAUGGGAGUGGGCUGCAAAAGAAGUGGGUAGUUUAACCUUCGGGAGGACGCUCACCACUUUGUGGUUCAUGACUGGGGUGAAGUCGUAACAAGGUAACCGAAGGGCG
This 765-nucleotide ribosomal RNA is filed under the name uncultured bacterium. RNAcentral's name for it is "bacterial SSU rRNA". It matches the Rfam family "Bacterial small subunit ribosomal RNA", at positions 746 to 1509 of the family's 1533-position model. The record is from RNAcentral.